Molecule: long non-coding RNA, 238 nt
Filed under: Elaeis guineensis (African oil palm)
Lineage: Eukaryota; Viridiplantae; Streptophyta; Magnoliopsida; Arecales; Arecaceae
Description: long non-coding RNA (EGUI_LNC073084)
Source: RNAcentral
UGCUCUCCCUUCGAAAGCUCUUCUCAAAGUUUUGCCUGUUCUUGUCUUCUUGCACCCUUCCUCCUUUGCCAUUUUCUUUUUGUUCUCCUUUCUGGGGCUAGUGUCAUGGCUAGAACCUCUUCUCGAGGAAGUCAGUCGGGGAACCCGACCGAUGAUUUUCGAUCGACCCCGGAGGUGGAGGUUUCUUUACUUUCAGGGGCAAACGUCGAACGGCUCAGGGAGCAAUACAGUAUCCCGG